AUGGCCUCAGUGCUAUUGCUCGGUGCCAUUAUAAUCCUGCUGAACCUCGCAUCUAUGUCAUUGGCGCAACCUAACCACAAAUGCAGAACACAUUGCGGUGACAUUGAAAUUCCCUACCCAUUUGGCAUUGGUAUUGGUUGCGCCAUCGAACAAAGGUUCGAGGUCAACUGCAGCACGACUGCUGAUGGAAUUGAGAGGCCAUUCAUUCAUGAACAGGAGGUUCUAAACAUUUCAGCGUCCCGCGGUCAAUCCAGAGUUUUAAUGACCAUCCCAUCAUAUUGCUACAAUUCUAGUAUAGGAAAAAUGGAUUUGCACCCUUGGGAUUUUUACUUAGCAUGGCCAUAUCGGUUCUCAGACGUGCAUAACAAGUUCAUAAGCAUUGGUUGCAACUCAAUGGGAUACAUUUACACAGGCAAAUCGAGGUAUGUAGCAGGGUGUGUAUCGGUGUGUUGGAGCCCGGAAGAACUGGCAAAUGGCUCUUGUGUUGGCAUAGGCUGCUGCCAAAACACCAUUACCAAGGGAUUAACAAGCUACCAUGUCGUAUUCUAUGAUGUCGACUACCUCAACAGUACGACUAGUUGGCACUUCAACCCAUGCGGCUACUCCAUGGUGGUGGAAGCAGAGAAUUUUGUUUUCAACUCUGAGUAUAUAACCACGACAAGGUUCAAUGAUACCUACAAGGGGCGGCAACCAGUGGUGCUUGACUGGGCAAUUGGAAAUGUAACGUGUGAGGCGGCGAGAAGAAACAUGUCUUCCUAUGCAUGUCGGACCGGAAACACAGUGUGCGUGGAUUCACCCAAUGGCUUAGGGUAUUUAUGCAACUGCUCUAGCGGAUACCAAGGGAAUCCUUACCUCUCCAAUGGAUGCACAGAUGUCAAUGAAUGUGAGCACAGUCCAAGUCCCUGCCCAAAGUCUGCAACUUGCCAAAACAUAGUUGGAGGAUACCAAUGUUUAUGUCCUUUUGGCGGUAAUUUUGCAAAGGAAACAAACUCUUGCACCAACGGAUUGAUAGGAGUUAUUAUUGGACUAAGUUGUGGUAUUGGAGUUCUAUUUAUUGCUUUAGUUUCAGCUUUGUUGAUCCGAAGGUGGAACCAAGGCAUUAAAAUUAGAGUUCGAAAGGCGCACUUCCGGAGAAACAAAUGUCUUGUCUUGGAACAACUGAUUUCAUCCGAUGAAAGUGCCAUGCAUAGCACUAAAAUAUUUUCCUUGGAUGAGUUAGAGAAGGCAACCGACAAUUUUGACUCCACGCGCAUUCUAGGUCUUGGAGGGCAUGGUACUGUUUACAAGGGGAUUUUAUCAGAUCAGCGCGUGGUGGCCAUAAAGAAGUCCAAAAUGGUCGAUCAAAUAGAGAUUGAUCAAUUCAUCAACGAGCUUGCCAUUAUGUCACAAAUCAAUCAUCGGAAUGUGGUAAAACUUUUUGGAUGCUGCCUCGAGUCAGAGGUACCUUUGCUUGUGUAUGAGUUCAUAUCCAACGGCACGUUGUCUGAAAUCCUCCAUGGUGACAACCUCAGUUCCAGGACCUCUUUAACAUGGGACGAUCGUAUUAGAAUUGCUAGCGAGGCUUCAAGUGCUCUUGCUUACCUCCAUUCCGCUGCUUCUAUACCAAUCUUUCAUAGAGAUGUGAAAUCUGCCAAUAUACUCUUGACUGAUAACUUCAGUGUAAAGGUUGCAGACUUCGGAGCUUCAAGAUCCAUCUCCAUUGAUGAAACUCGUGUAGUCACAGCAGUUCAAGGUACAUUUGGAUACCUAGAUCCCGAGUAUUACCACACAGGCCAGCUAACUGAAAAGAGUGAUGUUUAUAGUUUUGGUGUGAUAAUCGUCGAGCUCCUUACAAGGAAAAAGUCGAUCUUCCUCGAUUCCCAUGGUGAAAAUAAAAACCUAUGCCAUUACUUUGUUCAAAGGCAACAAGAUAACACCAUCAAGGAGAUCGUCGAUGUUCAAGUUCUUGAGGAAGGUACGGAAAGACAGAUUGACGAGAUGGCCUCCCUUGCGAUGGCAUGCUUAAAGCAUAGAGGAGAGGAGAGGCCUACCAUGAAAGAAGUGGAGCUAAGACUGCAGGCCAUGAGAGGGAAGAUGGUGAUGAAGAGAAAUCAUGAGUUAGAAAGGCAUGGUGAAGCUGUGACAUUGUUACCUUCAAAUUAUUCCAACUAUUUCAGCACUAGUUUUGGGGCUGCUAAUUCAUCAAAUCAAUGUGUCACUCGAUGUUGUACAAUGGAGCGAGAACUAGUUUCUUGGACGGACCUACCUCGCUAA
This 2253-nucleotide ribosomal RNA is filed under the name Triticum aestivum (bread wheat). RNAcentral's name for it is "partial small subunit ribosomal RNA". Lineage: Eukaryota; Viridiplantae; Streptophyta; Magnoliopsida; Poales; Poaceae. The record is from RNAcentral.